RNAcentral lists this ribosomal RNA (292 nucleotides) under uncultured bacterium. RNAcentral describes it as "partial 16S ribosomal RNA". It matches the Rfam family "Bacterial small subunit ribosomal RNA", at positions 505 to 796 of the family's 1533-position model. The record is from RNAcentral.
GUGCCAGCAGCCGCGGUAAGACGAACCGUGCGAACGUUGUUCGGAAUCACUGGGCUUAAAGGGCGCGUAGGCGGGCCGUCAAGUCCGCGGUGAAAUCCCCCGGCUCAACCGGGGGACGGCCGCGGAGACUGGCGGCCUCGAGGGGGGUAGGGGCGCGCGGAACGCCGGGUGGAGCGGUGAAAUGCGUUGAUAUCCGGCGGAACUCCGGUGGCGAAAGCGGCGCGCUGGGCCCCUUCUGACGCUGAGGCGCGAAAGCCAGGGGAGCGAACGGGAUUAGAUACCCGGGUAGUCC